CAGGCAACUUUUAUUGUUUCAUUGCCUCUAAGUUAAAACAUAUUUGCUUUAUAAUAGUUCACAGUGUUUCAGAGUAAAAUAGUUUGUCAUUUUCGACCAUAAAGGAGGCAGACUCUAAAACAAAACAAAACAUGCUUUUAGAAUCCAUUCAAGCUGUCAGCAUCAUCAACACAGUAAGAGCAGCCAAAUAGAACCAUAAAUAUAUUUGUCAACCCUUGGAGCCUACUAAUAACAGGUAUAUAUUACCUAGAUAUAUGGUAGCUCCAGGGGAGUGCUCAAAAGAGGCAGCCCAUGUGCUUGGGAAGUAUAGCUAUCUUUCACAAUGAGAAUCAGCCAGUCACGUCCUGUCCCAUUGUUUAUUAUGUAUUUAUGUCUUCUCCUCAAAGAGACCAGAGCCUGCUUCACAGGCCACACUGAGAACAGGCUGUGCCCUGACCUGCUCAUUCCCAUUAUUGAGUUCAAUCCAGCAGUGAACAUACCUGUAAAUAAUUUUAUGAAAAGUAUAGCAGGAUUCUCUGUUCCAGUGGUUAUAGACAAUGGGAUUGACAAUCAAAUUUGCAUGUGACAAGAGAAUGGUCAUCUUCCUUGCCCACUUGGGCUUAUCUUUAGCCUGAGCUAGCUGAAAAAGAGUGACACAGUCCAUGGUGCGCACUGGUAGCGAGCACAGAGCAAACAUCCCCACCAUCACAGCCAGCGACUUGGCUGUGUAUAUCUCCCACUGGAGGGUGGUCCUUGAGUGGUCCAUCAGCUCCGUGUACUAAAGCUGCCUGCAGUCACUGUGAAGAACUUGAUGGAGAUCAGCCACAUUACGAGCAGUGGGGGCAGGACUUACCCCCCAAAACUGAAAUAUACCAUGUAACUCAUGGGUACCGCAUUCUGAAAGAGACACUUCACAAGGCAGCAGCUUUCAUUCAUGGUUCCAUCCCAGGGCUCCAUGCAGUUAUUAGAGGUACUGUCUUUACUGUUCCACUCCAGGAAUGGGGUCAGUCCAGUGCCAAAGGCAAGGACCCAGAGGACAGCAGUAACCCCUCUUGUUUGGGUCCCAGUGACUAAACUUUUAUGCCUGAGCCGACUGUGGCUGGCCAGGUACCUGUUGAUGGCCAUGGACAGGAGGCUGAAGAUGGAGCUCUGUGUGAGCACAAGCAUGAAGCAGGCAAGAAAGAGGUGGCUGUGGAAGUCAGUGCAGAACCCAGGCUGAUGAUGAUGGCAAAGGGGAAGGCGAACAGCCCCACGGCCACAUCAGGGAAACCAGGAAGGAGUUGGUGGACAACCGCAGUGCACUUGGCAUGCCAGCCCUAACACCACGAACGGGUGUGCCCUGCACCUCCAGCAGCAUGGCCCGGCCAGCCAGGCUCCAGGCCUCAUCUACCUGGGCCCAUGGCCCAUCUACUAGGGCCUCAUCUACCAUGAGCCUCACAUGGGACAGUUGUGUGUGCCCACACUACGCGUCUGCCAGCCGCAUCUCUCUAUUUAUUUUUAGCUUGUCCUUUUAAGAUUUCAAUUUCUGCCUAUGUUUUAUGCUAGCAAAUAUUAUAUGCAUAUAUUAAAUAAAUAGUAACUAUAUAUCUAUUAGAAGCACAUAUGCUUAAUCAUUUUUUUCCAUCUUGGGGAUCUUUUGAAUUCCCCAAGUGUAAUCAUGUUUUAAUAAUGAAGUAUGCGAUCAAAAGCUUUGGAGAACCCUCCUCUAGAGAGUCUUUGAUCCAGUCAUCCUUUGAAGUUUGCCGUGGACUGUGCUCUGGGGUGGGUUUCACAUGCUGGCCCAGAGUGGUCCAGCCAAGGAGAAAGGUCCUGUCAGUGUGGAGAAUAGUAGCACAGCAGCUCUUGAGAGGGACUUGUUGGUGAGGGGGGACUUAACUAUCCUUGAGAAGGAGAUGUCUGGAAGAGCAACUUGGAUGUCUGUCCCCUGUGCCAAUGUGUGCUCCUCCUCUGAGGUUACCUCCUCAGGGCUCCCUCCUACUGAUAUCUAGGCCUUUUCAUGACAUUCUUUACUGAAGAGAGGGAAUCACAAUUUGUCAAAGGGAAAUUUGCAGAUGUGGGAGGCCUAGGAUUUCCUCCAGCAUAGGUAGAACUGUGGUGUCCAAGUAGUACCUUGCAAAUGGUCAGUGUGAGUGGAUGCUGUCAGCAUGCUUAGGAGGCUGAUGUCUUCAGACCUGUGUCCUUCUGCUCUGACUGUAUCUCCCUGCUUCUCUGGUGAUUUAUACUUAUGACAAACACUAUUGGUUGCUGAAUAGAACCACAGUUUUGUUUGGCGUGGCAAUGUGCCCAGUUGAAAGCUCCAUUUCUCAGCCUCCCCUGAAGGGAACAGUGGCCACAUGCCAUGGCUGUGGGCCGUGAGAUGUAAGCUGAAGUCUUUGGAUGGGGCCUCCCAGUGUGCUCAUUAUCAGGGGUCAGAGUCAGCUGGUGUGCAUCCUGUACCCUUCACCUUCCUCCUUCUCUUGCCAGAAACACUGAGUGAUGCUGAGGGUGGGGCCACUGUCUUGUGAACAUCCAGCAACAAGGAGGAGGAUGGAGAGCUGAGUGGAAAGACAGAAGGAGCCCAGGUCCCCGAAGGCCCUAGUCAGCUCCACCCAGACUUUUUGUUAGGAGAGGAAAAUAAGUCUCUGCCUGAUUCAGCCAGCCACUGUCAGACAGUUGGAUUUUCUGUUACUCCCAGGGGAAUGCAGUGCUAACAAACUUGAAAGUCAUGACUGCAGGUCUCACUGACACCUUGGUCAAGGCUGUUGACUUCAUGCAGGAUGCUGAUGCCCUUAGAAUGGAAGAGUGUGAGCAUCCCAUGUCUUCAGGAGCCCUUGCUGCCUCUCCUUCCCUGGCAAUUGUAUUAUAGAAUGUAGAUAUCUUGUCACUGCUAGUCAGCUUGGCCACGCUUGCUGACAGAAAAAAAAAACAACAAAAAACAGAAAACGCCAAUUUGACUCAUGUUAUCAGAGUUUGAUUUCAAGUCCUGGAGGAGGAGAGAGUGAACUGUCUCCUUAAGAAUAACGAAUUCUGUCAGGAAUGUGGAAAGUGAAAGUCAUGAUGAUGUGCUGGAGCCAGUACACAGGCUUGAGAGAGCCGGGGGUGUCCAUCUCUUCCCAAUCCACAUGCCGUGAUGUCCUGUUGGUGACUCGAAGUUGGCCACAGUGGACCUGAAAUCCAGCCCACACUCUGCUCACCACCCUGUGGGCCUUGUCCCAGGACUCAUCCCUUCUCUUCUGGAGCCAUUUCCAAUUCUGCCCAAAAGGACAGCCUGAAGUGUUCCUAGGUGUGAAGCAAGUGUCUGACCCUCAGGAAGCUGCUCCCUCUGCAGUGCUCAGCUGGACCCUGGGUACCUGGCUGAAGACUUUGGACUUUAACCUGGAGAUGAUGGAGAGUAUGCAGGAUAAAGUCCAUACCAAAUCCAACGCCUAGCAAAUGGAGAACAAGCCAAAACUAACAAGAUAAAAUGUAGCAGGAAAAAGUGCAAAGAGCUGAAGUGUGGAAUAAGUGGGAGAGGUCUGCCAUGCCCUAUCUGACCUUGCUGCCAUGAUCUUUAAGGCUGUGUGUCCUGGUUGGUGCAGCUACAAGAUGGCAGAAAUGCCUAAGUGAUGGUAUGGAACAGAGGAUCCCUCUUCUCACCAUUGUCUUGCAUGUUUCCUUGUGUGAACCACAAAUAAACUUUUGUUAUGUUAAGCUGC
RNAcentral lists this long non-coding RNA (3653 nucleotides) under Homo sapiens (human). RNAcentral's name for it is "HSALNT0297953". Lineage: Eukaryota; Metazoa; Chordata; Mammalia; Primates; Hominidae. The record is from RNAcentral.